AUGCCAUAAUUUAAAUAUGCAUUCUACGUUAAGGAUAACCCCUAAUAAGUCUCCUGUGUUGUUUACCAACCUGCUCUCCACUUCAGUGAGUAAAGAAAUGAGAUUUGGGCAACUCUGGCCAAGGGAAAGACGGGCUGUGCUUUGGUCAGGCUGAGCUGAAGUGGCUGCAGGUGCUGAGACUGGGCUCGGGAAAGAGAACACAGGUUUCCAGGGAAGAUCACGAAAGAGCUGUGUGAUCUACCUCUGUACCAACACGCUGUGGUGACCUGCAUGUACCGUCUGUGCUACAAAUGACAGGCUCAGAGAAAAUGGAUGCGCUGGGACUUUGCUGUCACCAGAACUGACUACGUGAAUAGCGAAUGAGUGAAGCACAGUUAUUUUUCUUUCAGAGCCCAGUGGAUGGACUAAUUGGAAGUGGGAUUGCUAAAGUGAAUCAUGACUAUUCACCAGCUUUUAAACUCCAUCCAGGAUCAUAGAACAGAGGGUAAGUCCCACUUGCUCCUCUGUUAGGCAGAACAUGUGCCUACAUGAUUUUCCAGCUCCACCCUUCACAGAUGCAGAUCGUUACAGAUGAAAUGUAUUCUUUAUGUUGUUUUGCUCACUACUACCAUGCAGAGUUGGACUGGGAUAGAGAAUGCCUCGUACAAUGUAGCCCUGAAAUCAUUACUCUCAGAAGAAGUGUUGCAAUAUGAGUGUGUUGCCUGUUUUUUUUACCCAGGCUCUCUUUUCAGCUUUUGAAAUCAUAUACAGCAUUGUUGCAAUCCAGCAGUUGUGUCACAGCAUCUUGAUUUAAGUUCAGGCCACCUCAGGAUGGGAAGAGGAUGUCAGUUUAGGUCCUUAGCUACCUUCAAAUGGUGCUUUCAGCUCAGGAAGGACAGACUCCUUCUUCCACCGGUGUUUGGAAGAUCUUUAGGGCUAUCGAAGAGAGCUGAGACAUGACAGCAAGAUGCCCCUUGCCUGUCCUCCCAGGGCAUAACGUGUCUCUAAACCAGUCCAAGUUUCCAGCUUGAGCUGUGGGUUUUAUACAGCUCUUCAGUUGUGACAAGUGGUCUGUGGGAUGCCUCCCUCUAUGCUGUUGCCUUUUUCUUUGGAGGAGACAGUGAGCUGCUCUUGAGGCUGGGAACACUGCCCUAGCAGGCAAGAACCUCCUUUUCCUGCAUUUUCUGUAAGUUCUUACCAGAGAACAUGACUUCAGGGCUGAAGUACAGGAAAUCUGCCUCCCCAGCUUUAUCCUCACCAAGUUCUUUAGUGGCUUAGACCAGAGAUCUAGACAACACAGCAGUGGCCACAGGAGGCUGUGCAGGACGAGGGAGGAAGGAGGAGGAUUUAUGGGGAAAGAGCAUCCCAUCGGCAUAAAGACAGCCAGAAACCGUCACCAUCAAUAACAGCCUGUGGGGAGUGGAUGUCCCAGAAGUGGCAUCCAGCUCCAGUGGCAGCUGAUUUUGGGCCACCCUGAUUUACCACAUCAGGUUUUAGUCUGUGACCAGAGUACCAAACAGAAGAAAGUUUAGAAGAAGUUGGAGUACUGUUUGCUGCUGUUGAGAGCUAAGUGGAAAAAUAUAACCAAGAUGAUAAGCAAAAUCCCUUUAUCUGCCAGUUACAAACCUCCGAGCAGAAAAGCUGAAGAACUACACAGAAAAAAGUCUCUACAAGGUAGCAAAAGCUCUAAUACUUGUAAAAAAAAAAAAAGGGGAGUUGGCAGGAUGAUUUUGAGCACUGCCUUCUGUCCCGUUAAUCAAUAUCAGACGAUGUAUGUAUAAAAGAACAAUGCUGAAUGAAAAAAGACCAAUUUGAUCCCAAAAAGUGGAGUAUAGAGCUGACAGGAAAAGUGGAAUCAUAUUUCAUAAGGAAGGUGGUUGAAACAUUCUGGGUGAAUUUUGCUAGAUUUAGUGAAAGUGAAAUGAAGUUAAAAAAAAAUUUCAGGCAGUGUCAACAAGACCUCACACUCACAUUUUUUAUUAAACUUUAUGAUUUUUAGUUUCUAUUUUAACAAUGUUUACAUUAUGUGGUCUAACUCAAAUCAUAUGUUACAUGUUACUUAAAACACACACACACACCCCAAAAACAUACACACACACACACAAAAAGAUCAGUUGACUUGGAACAUCCCAAUAUUUUGGCAUUUUAAUUUCUGGAGAAAUGUUGGGGUUUUCUGCUCCCAAAAAUUCAUUCCUAAAGAAGGGAGGAGGAAUUUGUCCUUCCCUCCAUUUGGCAUGCAAUACACAAGUGCCUUUCUGUAAACAGCAGACUCAUUUGAGCAAUGAGCAACCCACACAACAGGCUGGCUUCUGGCAUUUGCUAACUGGAGUCUGAGGGCUAAGUGCAACAAAAACUUGAGUUGCCCACAGAAUAGCUACUCUGAUUCAGCUGAAACCUGAAGCAGAUUUUGGUCCUUCUUAGAAAAUACUUGUACUUUUUUGUUGGUUGUUGUUGUUUCUAACAAAGACAGAAUUGAACCAGUCUCCCAAGUUGAGAUGCUCAAAGAUGUCCAAAAUGAGAUGUGACUGGCAAGAAUACAAUACACAGAUUAAUAAGGAAGUCAUUAAAGGACAGAGAAGCCCUGAAGGGAUGGAGUGGCUUUUAGUUUGAGGAAGAAUAGGUACAUAAGUUCUCGUUUUGCAUUAAAUUUUACCCUUCCUUUCUGCAGUAAGCCAUAAGUCAACUGUUUGCUGUGACUUCAUCAGAAAACAAUCUCUCUCUUUUCUUUCCUGCUCAUAGGCAUCUUGGGCUCAAUAGAAAGCUUUUUGACUUGGAUCCAACUGUUUGCUCAGUUUAGAGGAAGUUUCUGAUGCUAUUCAGUAUUUCACAAUGGCACCGAAAGGAAAUUUAUCAGCACAGGGACUCUACUUAAUUACCAAGCUGCCAGAAACACCCCUGAAACAGGAGAGGAGAAAGGCUAUUGCAAGGCACAGCUGGAACAUCAGUAGGGGAGGUGAAGAAAGAUUACACCAGGGAAGGAGGUGUCUUACAACAUGGAAGUAAGAAAAAUGGAAAGGAAUGAUCAUGUAUCUGAAGAAUAAAAUAAAAAGGCAACAACGAAAACAAAUUACUCAGUUUUUCCACGCUUUCCUCUCUCUUGCUUGCCUGUUGAGUCAGACACCUAGACUCAGUGCAGACUAAAACAGAGUGUCUUUGUUACACGUGAACAUCUUCUUUUUAUGCGUAGGGCUCUUUGACAGGGACAUAUAUGCAUCUAGGGAUGCUUAUCCUCCAUUAUCAUUGCCCAGAGCAAUUGUAGCUCCCUGUUACAUGGCUUGGAGAUGGUGUGCAUUGCACAGCUUCUCUCUCUGUCCUUUCUAGAAUGGCUGCCUUGCUCCUAAGUACCCCAAAACAACAGUUGAUGACACCUACUCUAGAAAGCAGACUUGGGCUCCCAACUUGUUUCAGACAUAUGUCCUGGGAAAUGAACUGCAAGGAGCCACUGUAAGGAGCUAGACCUGAAGUUCCCACCAAGAAAAGCUGGCAGAUCACAUGGUGAACAGCAAGGUUUAUCUUAUGCUGCUUUGAUCUGCCCCCAAAAGAGCCUUUGUAUAGCAUCACAUCACAGAUAUCUUCAGGUGGUCAAGCCAAGGCUAGAAGAGAAACCAGUGCAUCUCUGCUUUCCACAGUUCUCUUCCUAAGAACUUUGAAAGUUCUUGGACUUUCUUUAAGUAACUUUUACUGUGUAUUUGCAGUGUUCUGGUCACAAAGGACUAAAGGUGAAAGGUUUUUGGAGGCCUUUAUAGAUAGUUUUCCAUUUUCUAGAAAGACCUUUUGCUUUUUGAAGUUCACACAAAACUGUGCCAAAGGUAUGAGCAGAAAAAACAUAGGACAUAGCAUCAAGGAAGUGGGUUUUUAUAACUACAUUCCCUUGGGACAUUUCUUAUCCAUGUGGGAUUUGCACUUGACUCUUUGGAGUAUCAGGAAGGAUUUCUAAAUCUCUCAGGAGAGAAGGAUCAACACAUUAACCAAUAUGCAUAAUACCCAUAUAUUCUCUUAGGUUGAUCUGCUAAAACACCAAAGACUCCCUUAACUUUACCUCAAAAUGGGCUCAUGUUUCAUACAGUGAAGAAAUUGAUACAGAGUAGUAGAUUUAGCAGUUGAUUUUUGUCUGUGCUAUGGGAACAAGUUCCUUACAUGUUCUGCAUCAUUCAUAUGCUGCUAUUGCACGCCAGGUGGCAAUUGCAUGGCAGGUGGGCAGGUGCAGCAAGACUGUAAGUUUAGGGCUCAUCCCUUGGGGAUCAGAUUUAAAGAAAUUUGAUCCAGUUGCAAGGCUGGAAAUAUAUAGGUCCAUCCAGAAAAUUUCCUUCUGAAUUUCAUUGUUGCAUAUUCUCCUAGCUCCUUCUGAAUUCAGGUCCUUGCUUUGCUAUUGCUUUGCCAGGAUACUUACUUCUUUAACAUUUGUCCCGAGAAGACUAUUCUGUCUCUCUCUCCCACAGAUUUACAAAGGCACAAAUACUUGUGCAGGCAGGCAGAGCUGCAUUUUGUUUCCUGUGUGGUUCUGAAGAAAAACGAGUGGUUGUUCUGGGCAUUAUGGAAGUGCCGCAUGACCCCCACAUCUACAGAAAAAGUAGUCUUGGUGUUUGGAGUCUCAUACUCCAAAGCCACACUGGCACAAGCCAGGAUAAGAGAAGUGGAACAUAAGAAACAGAAGUACCAAAUACAAAUAGCAAAGACAGAAGAAAAUUAAGAGAAAACCAUGCAUAUCUUCAAUUACUGCUUGACUUUGAUAAAAAGGCUCUUUUCAGUUUUGUAUGGUGCCCCUACCCGAUAAAUAUUCACACCUGUCUGUCAAUAGAUCUUGAUCACCCCUAUAGCUUUCCUCUGUUGAAGAUUGGUCUUACUUCAUAUUUCAGAUAUCCUUGCUUGCUUGGUCCUUCCAUCUGUAGAUGGCUAGAUCCUUACCUCAGAUAUAAAGGAGCUUUGACCUUAUUCCAGCCUGCUUUGGACAUGCAGAGCCAGAGAGUGCUGGCUCUAGUGCCCAGUGCAUGGGUUUGCCUAUCCACCCCCAAAAGUGACUGAAGCACUUUGUGGUGAUAAGGGGCUUGGGGUGAAUAACUGCCCUCCCCCAGUCCUGCUUCUGAGGAUAAGGUGACGUUUUCCCCAAAAUAUGGCUUUUCCUUUGCUACUUUUAUACUUAGUCCUGACUUUUCUCCAUUUCUUCUUUUGGUCUUCAUGGGCUCUUGUCUUUCUAUGGACAUGAAUCUUUGGAGCAGCAAAUUUAGUUUCCAAGAAAAAACUUGACACUCAUCUUCUACCUUCCUAAGUCACACAUACACUCACUAGAAGUGAUUUUUCUCACUAUGUAUGCCUGAGUUUUAAUGGUUUAAGUUAUGAUGGCUGAUAUUUUAUCUUCAAGCCUUUUACUAGGAUGUUAUUCUGUACACCAGUGUCUAAUUUCUAAGGAGAACAGACCCCAGUGAUAUUCCAGUUGACUGGAAGCAGUUGUCUUCUGAACCAUCUCUACAAGUAAUACCACUUCACUAUGUAGAGAAUAAUUUUGUGUGUGUAUAUAAACUGGUUUUAUUGCUUAGAAAAAUGGCAGUUCUUCCAAAAGCUGGAUAUUACUUAGAACUAUGUUUAUUCCACUAGCCUGUGCAAUCUGUCACUUUGCUUCUAGCAAACUACUACUCAGAUUAUAUUUUAGAUUUACUUUGUCUCUUCCUGUUUCUAUGAAUCUGCAGUUUGCUAGCUCAGUGUACUACAGCAGUCUCUAGUUUCCUCUCCAAAGGUUUCAAGUGAAUCUUAACCUCCAAGGACAGUAAUUGCAUUUUUUUUUUAUUUUUUUAAGGUUAAGUCAGCUCCCCAAGCAAAUUCUCUGGGCUGGGUUUGUUUUUUGAUUCCCAUUCUA
Molecule: long non-coding RNA, 5830 nt
Organism: Cygnus olor (mute swan)
Lineage: Eukaryota; Metazoa; Chordata; Aves; Anseriformes; Anatidae
Exons: 4
Source: RefSeq, a predicted model, not a curated record